GAUGAACGCUGGCGGCAUGCCUAAUACAUGCAAGUCGAGCGAAUGACGAAAAGCUUGCUUCUCUGAUUUAGCGGCGGACGGGUGAGUAACACGUGGGCAACCUGCCCUACAGAUCGGGAUAACUCAGGGAAACCUGGGCUAAUACCGGAUAAUCCUUCGAAUCACAUGUUUUGAAGUUGAAAGGCGCUUCGGCGUCACUGUAGGAUGGGCCCGCGGUGCAUUAGCUAGUUGGUGGGGUAACGGCCUACCAAGGCAACGAUGCAUAGCCGACCUGAGAGGGUGAUCGGCCACAUUGGGACUGAGACACGGCCCAAACUCCUACGGGAGGCAGCAGUAGGGAAUCUUCCACAAUGGACGAAAGUCUGAUGGAGCAACGCCGCGUGAGUGAUGAAGGUUUUCGGAUCGUAAAACUCUGUUGUAAGGGAAGAACAAGUACGUUAGGAAAUGAACGUACCUUGACGGUACCUUAUUAGAAAGCCACGGCUAACUACGUGCCAGCAGCCGCCGUAA
This 510-nucleotide ribosomal RNA is filed under the name uncultured bacterium. RNAcentral's name for it is "partial 16S ribosomal RNA". It matches the Rfam family "Bacterial small subunit ribosomal RNA", at positions 28 to 523 of the family's 1533-position model. The record is from RNAcentral.